Molecule: ribosomal RNA, 97 nt
Filed under: Caerostris darwini
Lineage: Eukaryota; Metazoa; Arthropoda; Arachnida; Araneae; Araneidae
Source: RNAcentral
UUGAAUAUACCGGUUCUCGUUAGAACACCGAAGUCAAGCAUUAUGGGGCGCGGUCAGUACUUGGGAGGGUGACCACCUGGGAACACCGCGUGCCGUU